Molecule: long non-coding RNA, 2195 nt
Organism: Mobula hypostoma (lesser devil ray)
Lineage: Eukaryota; Metazoa; Chordata; Chondrichthyes; Myliobatiformes; Myliobatidae
Exons: 3
Source: RefSeq, a predicted model, not a curated record
UUCCAAACAUCUACUAAUCUGCUACUUGGUACAUGGGACGAUUCCUGAUCCUAAGUGUCAAGGACCAGUGUGGGAACAGCUCCAUGCAGAACAUAGUGCUGUCAGGAGAUGGAUGAGAAGGAAUCACCAGCGAGGUCCAACACUGUUGUGGAUGAGACUUGAUAAGCUACUGACUCAGCCAAAACUGCAUCAACUGGGUGAAGGCCGGUUCCUGAUGAAUUCUGAGCGGCCAUUUAUUACAAGGGAUUCACCGCCUGGGCCAAGCUUGGCUGCAGACGUCCUAUUCACAGAACACGGAAAUCUGAGGAAUUCUGCAUUUCCAUCUCAGACUCCAUCCUGAAUAUCCCACCUGUGCUCAGGAAUCAAGAUCUGUACCUGAGCUGAACAGACUAUCUUCUGUAUGCGAAAUAACCCUAUAUUUUUCUGUUGAUGACCCUUUCACACACUGACAGAAGUGUUGUGUAUGUUAUAAGAGUGGCUGCAUUUCAAAGUAUCUGUUUGUUGUGACUCCUUUCAAGCUUGUAAAAGGAACCAGGUUAUUGCAAAUUCUUUUAUGCUGCUUGCAGCAAACUCUACACUUCCACUAAUUUUUUCCGUAUUCAUCAUGGAUAAGUUACAAUUACUCCAGCUAAAACUGGAAAAGAUCAAAUACAGAACAUCAUCUUCACUGUCCACCAUCUACAAUCUAUGACUACGUAACCUCUCCAUUAACUAUUAAUGUCACAUUUCAGGAAGCUCUAGACUAUGCAAGAUCAUCUACAACCUCAGUAUCGUUUCUGACCCUAAACUUAAUUUCUGAUGCCAUAUCCUUUCUCUUACAAAGUCUGUUUACUUAUCUGAAUCUAGUCCUGCCCCAAAUUCAAGUUUAAUCAUCAUUCAACCGUACAUGAAUACCCACGAAUACAGCCAAACUAAACCGCAUUCCUCCGAGGCCAAGGUGCAAAAAUAGUGCCAAUAGUCACACACAGCACAAGGCACAUAGAGCUCAUAUAGAUAGCAGUAAACAUACAGUCACACAAAAAAUAUAUAUAUAACCCAAGUCCCUAAGUGAAAUGUCCUCUAAGUUGAUGGUGCAUGGGUACUGUCGGUAAGAACAAGCCGUUCUCAGCGAUCCACGGGCGAACACUGGAGGACAGCACCAAAGGGAGAGGCCAGACCCUAAUCCAGCAUGGAUGCUGUGCCACACCACCUCUGAUGUCUCGCCUCCUGGACUGCUACGACAGGCAAGUCCGUGGCAUGAGGCCUAGUCCUUGCUUCAACCAAGGCCACACAGCUCCCCUGCAGUCAGUCUUGUCAAUAAACCAGUGAACCUGACUAGCAGUAGUUUACAUUAACAAUAUCCAACAGGGUCUUUUGAUUGCAAGAAAAAUGUCCAUGACAGUUAGACGGCACGCCACCUUUGCACAUUGACCCUGAUGCCUUUCUGUCGCAGGCAGAAACACGAUCUGCACCAAGUCUAGCUCCUCCAGCUCCUCUGCCGAUAAGCAAAUCGCUGAUGAGGUAGACUUGCGGUAAUUGAAGUUCUUAAUGUCCAUCAUUGUUUUACAAAAAAACACAUUUAAAAAACAAAACACCUUUGGUUGGCCCCAGAGAGGCUGAUGUGUCCAAGCAUGCUGCCAUUUAACCAGAAGAUAAGCUAUGGUAACAUUGUCAGCCAUGCAAUUAUUAGUUUCUGGUUCUAAAUUUUAAUAAUCACCUGUCUACAAACCUAGAUAAUCAGCAUUAUUGACUGUCAUCUUGGGUGCUAUGUUCUUCAGGAAUCCUUUCAUUGUUUCUUCUAUCUCUUUCCCUCUAAAAUUACCUUUCAUAACCUUUCUCGCUGAAAACGAAAAUAUUUCAAAAACAUUAUUGAAUUCAGUACUAUUUCAACUAAUAUUUAUAGCUUUUUUUUAAAGUCAGUAACUUGUCCAACUUGAAUUUAAAACUAGUUUACGCCUGCACUGUUAUCAAAACUAUGUCUAAAUCACAAAUAAAAUGUUUUAGCAGAGUUUUACUCUACUACACCAUCAAAACUGUACUGACAUCUUAUGUUUGUUCAUAAAUUUAUGAUUAAAACUUUUGAGUGAAGUAUUUUACGAGAUAUUUUCAUGAAUCCCAGUAUAUUUUGAAUGGCAUUUUCAAAGCAUUGUUAUACAGCCGUCCCUAGGGGAAGAAGUUGUCCAACAACUAAAAACACGUAACCUCAUAUACCAUGG